Molecule: long non-coding RNA, 290 nt
Organism: Arachis duranensis
Lineage: Eukaryota; Viridiplantae; Streptophyta; Magnoliopsida; Fabales; Fabaceae
Exons: 3
Source: RefSeq, a predicted model, not a curated record
UACAGUACCUCGUAAGCUAUAUUACGGUCUAUCAUCGUAAUUAUUUUUGUUAACAUCUUAUUUUAUGAAUGUAGUGAGAGAUAUAAAAUAUCAAGUGACAAAAUCGAUGAAUGGCUAAGGGGAAACGUUGAUAAAUCUGCUGCGGAGGGGGAGAACCUAGCUGACCUGCGAUCGACAGAAGGUCGCUAUGUGUCCUCUGAAACACUACCGGCUGUGAACUUGGGAAGUGAUGAUCCUUCCUCUCAAGGACGCACAGAACAGAGUAGCGUAAACCAACCAUCAUAGAGCAU